This 468-nucleotide ribosomal RNA is filed under the name uncultured bacterium. RNAcentral's name for it is "partial 16S ribosomal RNA". It matches the Rfam family "Bacterial small subunit ribosomal RNA", at positions 28 to 507 of the family's 1533-position model. The record is from RNAcentral.
GACGAACGCUGGCGGCGUGCUUAACACAUGCAAGUCGAACGGAAAGGCCCUGCUUUUGUGGGGUGCUCGAGUGGCGAACGGGUGAGUAACACGUGAGUAACCUGCCCUUGACUUUGGGAUAACUUCAGGAAACUGGGGCUAAUACCGGAUAGGAGCUCCUGCUGCAUGGUGGGGGUUGGAAAGUUUCGGCGGUUGUGGAUGGACUCGCGGCUUAUCGGCUUGUUGGUGGGGUAGUGGCUUACCAAGGCUUUGACGGGUAGCCGGCCCGUGAGGGUGGCCGGCCACAUUGGGACUGAGGGAGGGCCCAGACUGGUACGGGAGACAGCGGGGGGAAAUAUGGCACAGUGGGCGGGAGCCUGUUGCAGCGGCGCCGCGUGCGGGAUGACGGCUUUCGGGUUGUAAACCGCUUUCGCCUAUGACGAAGCGUGAGUGACGGUAAUGGGUAAAGAAGCACCGGCUAACUACGUG